UACGUAGGGUGCAAGCGUUGUCCGGAAUUAUUGGGCGUAAAGAGCUCGUAGGCGGUUUGUCGCGUCUGCUGUGAAAACGCGAGGCUCAACCUCGCGCCUGCAGUGGGUACGGGCAGGCUUGAGUGCGGCAGAGGAGACUGGAAUUCCUGGUGUAGCAGUGAAAUGCGUAGAUAUCAGGAGGAACACCGAUGGCGAAGGCAGGUCUCUGGGCUGACACUGACGCUCAUGCACGAAAGCGUGGGGAGCAAACAGG
RNAcentral lists this ribosomal RNA (253 nucleotides) under uncultured bacterium. RNAcentral describes it as "partial 16S ribosomal RNA". It matches the Rfam family "Bacterial small subunit ribosomal RNA", at positions 524 to 776 of the family's 1533-position model. The record is from RNAcentral.